Molecule: transfer-messenger RNA, 387 nt
Filed under: Patescibacteria group
Lineage: Bacteria
Also listed under: 2 other names
Description: JAAZJX01 sp012800155 Standard tmRNA
Rfam family: transfer-messenger RNA
About the family: Bacterial tmRNA, also known as 10Sa RNA or SsrA, is named for its dual tRNA and mRNA-like properties. Its role is to liberate the mRNA from a stalled ribosome.
Source: RNAcentral
GGGGAUGACAGGAUUCGCUAGUCGGAUCUAGUUGUCUGUACAGGCAUACCGAGCUCUAACUCGUAAAACUGGAAAAUUAUACGUGCAAACGUUACUAGUCGAGUGAAAAAUGCUUUGGCUCGCGCCUUCGCAAUGCCUUCAUUCGCAUCCGUAGUCGCUUAAUAGCUUCUACCAUCGUCCCUGUGAUACUCAAUAACAGUCAGACGGUGUCAACUUAUUGAGUGUAAAUUAUUAGUCUUCCUCAACUAAUAAUUGAAACUACUGAGGAUAGUUAUUUAUCUUUUUUCCGACUUUCUAGAUAAAUAAUAAAAUAUUAAAUCGGAUAUGUAUGUAGAAUGUAUUGCCAACCCGUACUAAACCCGGGUUCAAUUCCCGGCAUCUCCACAA